GACAGAGGGGGCGAGCGUUGUCCGGAGUCACUGGGCGUAAAGCGCGCGCAGGCGGCAACCUUAGUGUCGUGUGAAAGCCCCCGGCUCAACCGGGGGAGGCCAUGGCAAGCUGGGUCGCUCGAGCUGCGGAGAGGCUCCUCGAAUUGCCGGUGUAGCGGUGACAUGCGUAGAGAUCGGCAGGAAGACCAAGGGGGAAGCCAGGGGGCUGGCCGCAGGCUGACGCUGAGGCGCGACAGCGUGUGGAGCAACCCGG
RNAcentral lists this ribosomal RNA (253 nucleotides) under uncultured bacterium. RNAcentral describes it as "partial 16S ribosomal RNA". It matches the Rfam family "Bacterial small subunit ribosomal RNA", at positions 524 to 776 of the family's 1533-position model. The record is from RNAcentral.